CGAGCCGGGCGGGCGGCCGCGUGGAGGUCCUUGUGGACCUUCCCGAGGAACGUCCGGGCUCCACAGGGCAGGGUGGUGGCUAACGGCCACCCGGGGUGACCCGCGGGACAGUGCCACAGAAAACAGACCGCCGAGAACUCCGGUUCCCGGUAAGGGUGAAACGGUGGUGUAAGAGACCACCAGCGCCUGAGGUGACUCAGGCGGCUAGGUAAACCCCACCCGGAGCAAGGUCAAGAGGGAGCACCUCGGUGCUCCUGCGCGGACGUUCGAGGGCUGCUCGCCCGAGUCCGCGGGUAGACCGCACGAGGCCGGCGGCAACGCCGGCCCUAGAUGGAUGGCCGUCGCCGCGACGUCCGCGAGGACCCGCGGUACAAAACCCGGCGUACAGCCUGACUCGUCUG
Non-coding RNA from Streptomyces sp. M41(2017), 401 nucleotides. It matches the Rfam family "Bacterial RNase P class A". From Rfam's summary of the family: Ribonuclease P (RNase P) is a ubiquitous endoribonuclease, found in archaea, bacteria and eukarya as well as chloroplasts and mitochondria. Its best characterised activity is the generation of mature 5'-ends of tRNAs by cleaving the 5'-leader elements of precursor-tRNAs. The record is from Rfam. Lineage: Bacteria; Bacillati; Actinomycetota; Actinomycetes; Kitasatosporales; Streptomycetaceae.